GCUGAAACGUCUUGCGAGCUGAGUCAGGGUCGGGGAAGCUGUGAUGGCAAUGAGAAGUCAACACACUGAGGAUGGAGAGAAAGAAGAUGAGUCUGGGAGAGAAAGAGAAUGAUUCUUCUGGCCGAGGGAAAGCAAGAAUAUCUGUUCCUGCAACUGCACUGAUUCUAGAAACACUCUCUAUUCGAACUCUCAUGAGAUGGACCGAAAAUGCUGACGCCAAUGCCAAGGAAAAAAGUGUCUUGAAAAAGCAGCCGUGGACGUGGAGUUACCAAAUCAUCCGAAGUGGCUCCUGGACCGGGUGGAGGAGCCAGGCUGCAGAAAUGCAGUUCAUCGCAGGAGUUUUCCUGAACAGAGAAAAGUCUCCACAGAAUAGCAAAAAUAGCAAAAACUCGAAGUCAAGGGUCUUGAGGUCUAAAUUUUCUGUGUGACCCCAGGGAAAUCGUUUCAUCUUUCUAGGUCUUCACAUCCUCACCUGAAAAAUAAAGUGCUUGGCUAAGAAAGGCUUGAGGUUUUAUUUGGCUCAUUCUGUGGUUCUCUAGAUCCUGCACAAGAUAGCUGGACUUCUCUAAGGAAUCAGAAUUACAAGGAAAACAUAUUGAUUUUAUCCCUUUGUUAGUGAAAAUAAUACAUUCAGAUUUGAAAUGGUCAAUUGUUCACAGUGAUUUUUGGCUGUUAUGAAUAAAGCUGUUAUGAACAUAUGUGUAAGUCAUUGCAUGGACAUAUAUUUUCAUUUCCCUUUGGCAAAUACCUUGGAAUGGGAAUUGUUAGAUCACGUAAUAUGUAUAUAUUUACAUUUAUGAGAAACUGCCAAACUUUCUGAAAUGGUUGUCCUGUUUUACACUCCUGCCUGUAAUGCAUGAGAAUUCUAGUUGAUUCAUAUGGACACCAACACUUAGUAUUAUUAGUCCUUUCACUUUUAAUCAUUCUAGUGGAUGUGCAGAGAUAUUUCAUUGUGGUUUUAAUUUGCAUUUCCAGGUAACUGUUGAUAAUGAGCAUCUUCUUAUGUGCUCAUUGGUCAUUCAAAUAGCUUAUUUUGUAAAGUGUCUUUUGCUCAUUUUGAAAUUGUAUUGUUUGACUUAUUGAGUUGUAGUGUUCUUUAUAUAUUUUGGAUACAAGUCCUUUGCCAUGUAUGUAAAUUGUAAAUAUUUUCUCCCAGCCUGUGCUUUACGUUUUCAUUUUUUCAGCAGUAUUUUUCAGUAAACAAGAGUUUAAAGUCCAAUUUGUCUUUUUUUCUUUUUAUGAUUUAUGCUUUUUGUGUUCUAUAUUAAAAAUCUUGGCUUCCCUCAAGGUCAUCACAAAGAUUUCUCCUAUUUUUUUAAUAGAAGUUUUAUUUUCUAUGUUUAGACCUAUGAUAUAUUUUUAAUCAACUUUUGCAUAUAGUACGAG
This 1386-nucleotide long non-coding RNA is filed under the name Homo sapiens (human). RNAcentral describes it as "HSALNT0394334". Lineage: Eukaryota; Metazoa; Chordata; Mammalia; Primates; Hominidae. The record is from RNAcentral.